CCGUGCUAGGCGGGGGGCUCGGGGUCCCCUGAACCGGAAACCCUCGAUACGCCGGGCUGACUACUCGUCUGCGGCCUGCGUGCGACCGGGCAGCCCCCGGUGGCCGGUGUUGAAGGUCGGGUCCCGCGCGACCCGGAGCCGUGAAUCAGGUCAGGCCCGGAAGGGAGCAGCCUUAAGCGGUGUCCCGGGAGUGCCGCGGGAGUGCCGGGCCGGAGCCGGGCAUCGGGUCAGCGCCGAUCGUUCGUGGGUCCAGGACGAGGUGCACGG
RNAcentral lists this signal recognition particle RNA (267 nucleotides) under Actinomycetota bacterium. Its description in RNAcentral is "signal recognition particle sRNA large type". It matches the Rfam family "Bacterial large signal recognition particle RNA". Rfam says of the family: The signal recognition particle (SRP) is a universally conserved ribonucleoprotein involved in the co-translational targeting of proteins to membranes. Archaeal SRP consists of a 7S RNA and homologues of the eukaryotic SRP19 and SRP54 proteins. Lineage: Bacteria; Bacillati; Actinomycetota. The record is from RNAcentral.